GGAUGUAAGGGUCUACCUGCGACUCUUGUCACCACAUUGACCGCCAGGUUGAUUCGGCUGAUCAGGCUGACUGGGCGGGUGUCCCCUUCCUCCCUCACCACUCCAUGUGCAUCCCUCCCGAAGUUGCAUGCUCCAUCAAGGAGGACGACCACCCCUGAUAGAGGAGGACCAUUCUUAGAUCAAGGGCAUACGAGCAGCUGCUUCUCUGCUAGAACCUCUGAACAAACUCUCAAGGGUUACAGCAGACAAAGGAGAUAAAAACUGAGUCAUGAAAAAGCUCAAUCCAGCAGAAGGCAGAAGAGAGAAAUGG
This 310-nucleotide small nuclear RNA is filed under the name Castor canadensis (American beaver). Its description in RNAcentral is "7SK RNA (ENSCCNG00000010831.1)". It matches the Rfam family "7SK RNA". Rfam says of the family: 7SK was discovered as an abundant small nuclear RNA in the mid-70s but a possible function has only recently been suggested. Lineage: Eukaryota; Metazoa; Chordata; Mammalia; Rodentia; Castoridae. The record is from RNAcentral.